Molecule: ribosomal RNA, 469 nt
Filed under: uncultured bacterium
Lineage: Bacteria
Description: bacterial SSU rRNA
Rfam family: Bacterial small subunit ribosomal RNA
Source: RNAcentral
GAUGAACGCUGGCGGCGUGCUUAACACAUGCAAGUCGAACGAAGAUGCCGGAGUGCUUGCACUUUGGCAGACUGAGUGGCGGACGGGUGAGUAACGCGUGGGUAACCUGCCUUAUACAGGGGGAUAACAGUUGGAAACGACUGCUAAUACCGCAUAAGCGCACGGUAUCGCAUGAUACAGUGUGAAAAACUCCGGUGGUAUGAGAUGGACCCGCGUCUGAUUAGCUAGUUGGUGGGGUAACGGCCUACCAAGGCGACGAUCAGUAGCCGACCUGAGAGGGUGACCGGCCACAUUGGGACUGAGACACGGCCCAAACUCCUACGGGAGGCAGCAGUGGGGAAUAUUGCACAAUGGGGGAAACCCUGAUGCAGCAACGCCGCGUGAGUGAAGAAGUAUUUCGGUAUGUAAAGCUCUAUCAGCAGGGAAGAAAAUGACGGUACUUGACUAAGAAGCCCCGGCUAAAUACGUG